UACGUAGGGUGCAAGCGUUGUCCGGAAUUAUUGGGCGUAAAGAGCUCGUAGGCGGUCUGUCGCGUCGGCUGUGAAAACCCGGGGCUCAACCCCGGGCCUGCAGUCGAUACGGGCGGACUAGAGUGUGGUAGGGGAGACUGGAAUUCCUGGUGUAGCGGUGAAAUGCGCAGAUAUCAGGAGGAACACCGGUGGCGAAGGCGGGUCUCUGGGCCAUAACUGACGCUGAGGAGUGAAAGCGUGGGGAGCGAACAGG
This 253-nucleotide ribosomal RNA is filed under the name uncultured bacterium. Its description in RNAcentral is "partial 16S ribosomal RNA". It matches the Rfam family "Bacterial small subunit ribosomal RNA", at positions 524 to 776 of the family's 1533-position model. The record is from RNAcentral.